This 253-nucleotide ribosomal RNA is filed under the name uncultured bacterium. Its description in RNAcentral is "partial 16S ribosomal RNA". It matches the Rfam family "Bacterial small subunit ribosomal RNA", at positions 524 to 776 of the family's 1533-position model. The record is from RNAcentral.
UACGUAGGGUGCGAGCGUUGUUCGGAAUAACUGGGCGUAAAGCGCGCGUAGGUGGGUUUGUAAGUCGUCUGUGAAAUCCCUGGGCUCAACCUGGGAAUGGCAGACGAUACUGCAGAUCUUGAGUACUUGAGAGGAUGGCGGAAUUCCAGGUGUAGAGGUGAAAUUCGUAGAUAUCUGGAAGAACACCGGAGGCGAAGGCGGCUGUCUGGCAAGUAACUGACGCUAAGGCGCGAAAGCGUGGGGAGCAAACAGG